Molecule: long non-coding RNA, 1755 nt
Organism: Anoplophora glabripennis (Asian longhorned beetle)
Lineage: Eukaryota; Metazoa; Arthropoda; Insecta; Coleoptera; Cerambycidae
Exons: 3
Source: RefSeq, a predicted model, not a curated record
GUGAAAUUGACGUUUGUUUAGCUUGACUUGUGUUUUUUUUAUAGUAAAUAUAAAAUCUGUAAAAGUUGGAAGUAUUGGCAAAAAGGUAGAUAUGGAAGAAAUUUAACUACUUGCAGAUGUGAUCAAUAAGAUUAUAGAAGAUGUUGUCAAACGAAGUAGCAGAAAUGGUACCGGUGAAACUGCAGCUAAAAGGAACACGUUUUGCAUAAAAUGACUUUAGUAAAAUGUUUACCCCUUAGGAGAUACAGCUGUAGUUUGAAAACCAAAAAAGCUCACACGAUUGCAACUAAGAAAUAUAUAAGCAGGCGGCUGUCAUGUUAUCAUUAGAUCUUUUGUGGGUGCUUCCUUGGAGUUUGCUACUCCAUAAUUUUAUUUUAUUUAUGAUAACGGGAAGAAUUAUGGCAAAUAAUUUUACUGGUGAUGAAAAUGUUGACAUGAAGCGAGUAUUUUUUGAAUGUUGGAAAAACUGCCGUAGCAAGAAAAAGCAGUUCACCACAGACAGACUUUUUCAGCAGUAGAAAGAAGACUUCAGGAAACUGGGAAAAUACAGCCUCAUGGCAAGGGAAGUAGGAAAUGGAAAUUAUAGUCAUUUUAUAGACUCUGACUGUGCUUGUCUCCAAAUUAGUAAUAGGAUUGUACCGAAAACCCAAAACUUUCAGUACGUUCAAGUGAUGAUGAAUAGUGAAGUGUCUGAUCAACAACCGGACCCUAAUAAAUUACUAUCGUUUAGUAUAAAUUUUCCUUUAACGGCUCAAGACAGUCCCUGUUGUUCGAGUAGUGCCCUUGUUAAUAUCCAUGAUGAUGUAAUGAAAAUUUCUAAUUUUGAUAAUAAUUUUCCUCUAUGCUAUACUGUAACUAUAAAAUGAUAUCCGAUGUGACAAAUUUUUCAAAAUUAAUCAACUCUCUUGCUUUUGAUGGAAUAAGUCUAAGUUCAGGGUUUUAUUAUGAAAAUAAUGAACAAAGUAUUUGUGGAUUUGAAGAUUUAGGAAAUAAACGGACAAAUAUGUCUUACUUUUUAUGAUAAGAGGCGUUUGCACAAGCUAUAAAUAGGUUGUAGUAUAUUACUUUGUAAAUUAAAUUAAAAUUAUUUUCAAAAAUUCAACGAUAGUUUUCAAAAAAUUCAGGUUAAAGUUGCUGCAUAAUAACUGAAUCAAACAGUUGCCGCUAAAAUAGAAAUUUUUUUCAGUUAGUGAUUUACCUGUGGAAUCACUUCACACAGCAGAAUUUGUGUAUAUUGUUGGAAACUUAUUUGAUAAAAUAUUCAAAAAAGUUGCUUACCAUUAUAUGCUUAUAUGCCAUAGUAAUGAAGUAAUUGCAAAAUUGCAUUUGUAAAAAUAAAUACUAAUUUUUAGAAAAUAUGAAACCGAAAUGACAUCUUAUAAUUAGAUACGUAUAUUGUGUUCAUUGAUUAGUUGAUUGAUUGAUAAUUUUAUUUAUCAUUCAGUCAAGUCUAAACAUUUCUGUUAAAAGAUUGUAUUUUAUCCAGCAACUUUCAGUUUUUUUGUGCUUAGAUAACAGUUGUAAUAGAAAAUAUAUAGUUUGUGAAUAGAAUUGUUCUUAUUAAUUAAAUUUAUGAACUUGUGUACAUACAAGGUGUCCUGAAAUUCAUGCAACAAAAUUUGGUCAUAGAUUCUGAAGACAAAUUUAGGAGACCCGUAUUUUUUCUUUUUGCCAACUGGCCCCCUCUUUCGGUGUUACAUCCCCCUUAAAUCUGCCAUAUCAAAAUCAUGUACGAGAAUCACUAAAUUUGNGAAA